GGAAAAUUCAGUGUCUCCAUGCAGAGCUUGGGGACGCUGAACGGCAGGGCUGCUUACUGUGCAUCAUAUCCCAGCUCCCUGUGUACCACACAUCGCGGCUGGCGCCCAGUGAUGGGGCUGGGCUGCUGGCCGGGACUCCACAGAGCCAGACAGCAUGCACCCAGGGGACAAGAUUUAACAGUUGUAAGUAUGUAAUUAUGUCUCUGUAUGUAUGCAUGUCUC
This is a non-coding RNA of Pelobates cultripes (western spadefoot toad), 222 nucleotides long. The record is from the annotation of a GenBank genome assembly. NCBI's taxonomy places the organism in Eukaryota, Metazoa, Chordata, Amphibia, Anura, Pelobatidae.